Molecule: ribosomal RNA, 253 nt
Filed under: uncultured bacterium
Lineage: Bacteria
Description: partial 16S ribosomal RNA
Rfam family: Bacterial small subunit ribosomal RNA
Source: RNAcentral
UACGGAGGAUGCAGGCGUUAUCCGGAUUUAUUGGGUUUAAAGGGUGCGUAGGCGGGCUAAUAAGUCAGUGGUGAAAUCCUUCAGCUUAACUGAAGAACUGCCAUUGAUACUGUUAGCCUUGAGUAUAGUUGAGGUAGGCGGAAUGUGUCAUGUAGCGGUGAAAUGCUUAGAUAUGACACAGAACACCGAUUGCGAAGGCAGCUUACUAAACUAUUACUGACGCUCAUGCACGAAAGCGUGGGGAGCGAACAGG